GCAAGUCGAGCGGAAACGAAGAUAGCUUGCUAUCAGGCGUCGAGCGGCGGACGGGUGAGUAAUGCUUAGGAAUCUGCCUAGUAGUGGGGGAUAGCCCAGAGAAAUUUGGAUUAAUACCGCAUACGCCCUACGGGGGAAAGGAGGGGAUCUUCGGACCUUUCGCUAUUAGAUGAGCCUGAGUGAGAUUAGCUAGUUGGUGGGGUAAAGGCCUACCAAGGCGACGAUCUCUAGCUGGUCUGAGAGGAUGAUC
RNAcentral lists this ribosomal RNA (250 nucleotides) under uncultured bacterium. RNAcentral's name for it is "partial 16S ribosomal RNA". It matches the Rfam family "Bacterial small subunit ribosomal RNA", at positions 57 to 305 of the family's 1533-position model. The record is from RNAcentral.